GCACUGUUGAUGAGUCCCACAAUAGGACGAAACGGUCGUUCAGUGC
Non-coding RNA from Schistosoma rodhaini, 46 nucleotides. Lineage: Eukaryota; Metazoa; Platyhelminthes; Trematoda; Strigeidida; Schistosomatidae. The record is from Rfam.